GAUGAACGCUGGCGGCGUGCCUAAUACAUGCAAGUCGAGCGAACGGACGAGAAGCUUGCUUCUCUGAUGUUAGCGGCGGACGGGUGAGUAACACGUGGAUAACCUACCUAUAAGACUGGGAUAACUUCGGGAAACCGGAGCUAAUACCGGAUAAUAUUUUGAACCACAUGGUUCAAAAGUGAAAGACGGUCUUGCUGUCACUUAUAGAUGGAUCCGCGCUGCAUUAGCUAGUUGGUAAGGUAACGGCUUACCAAGGCAACGAUGCAUAGCCGACCUGAGAGGGUGAUCGGCCACACUGGAACUGAGACACGGUCCAGACUCCUACGGGAGGCAGCAGUAGGGAAUCUUCCGCAAUGGGCGAAAGCCUGACGGAGCAACGCCGCGUGAGUGAUGAAGGUCUUCGGAUCGUAAAACUCUGUCAUUAGGGAAGAACAUAUGUGUAAGUAACUGUGCACAUCUUGACGGUACCUAAUCAGAAAGCCACGGCUAACUACGUG
RNAcentral lists this ribosomal RNA (497 nucleotides) under uncultured bacterium. RNAcentral's name for it is "partial 16S ribosomal RNA". It matches the Rfam family "Bacterial small subunit ribosomal RNA", at positions 28 to 507 of the family's 1533-position model. The record is from RNAcentral.